UAACCUGCUAAAUAGUUACGUGAUUCUCGAAUCACGGACAACUUCUUAGAGGGACUAUCGGUGUUUAACCGAUGGAAGUUUGAGGCAAUAACAGGUCUGUGAUGCCCUUAGAUGUUCUGGGCCGCACGCGCGCUACACUGACGAAGGCAGCAAGUUUACCCCUUGGCCGGAAGGCCUGUUGCGUAAUCUUUGAAACUUCGUCGUGCUGGGGAUAGAUCUUUGCAAUUAUCGAUCUUAAACGAGGAAUUCCUAGUAAGCGUGAGUCAUCAGCUCACGUUGAUUACGUCCCUGCCCUUUGUACACACCGCCCGUCGCU
RNAcentral lists this ribosomal RNA (316 nucleotides) under uncultured fungus. RNAcentral's name for it is "SSU rRNA". It matches the Rfam family "Eukaryotic small subunit ribosomal RNA", at positions 1344 to 1680 of the family's 1831-position model. The record is from RNAcentral. Lineage: Eukaryota; Fungi.